This is a long non-coding RNA of Phasianus colchicus (ring-necked pheasant), 1930 nucleotides long. The record is from Ensembl. Lineage: Eukaryota; Metazoa; Chordata; Aves; Galliformes; Phasianidae.
AUCCCAUCUCUGAUUGUUUGGACACGGGGAAAUGGUUUCAAAAUAAAAGAGGGAAGAUUUAGAUUGGAUAUAAGGAAGAGGUUUUUUACAAUAAGGGAGGUGAGGAGUGGCACAGGUUGGUUGCCCAGAGGUGGCGGUGCCCCAUCCCUGCAGACACCCGAGGUCAGGCUGGAGGGGCCCUGAGCACUGAUGGAGCUGUGGUGUCCCUGUUUGUUGCAGGGAAUUGGACCAGAUGGCCUUUAGGGGUCCCUUCCAACUCAAACGAUUCUGUGACUCUAUGAUUAUAUGAAUUCCCCCAACAGAAGUUCUGUCCAAGUUAGAGCUGUCAAGUACACCACUAGACUAAGUUGUAUCACUGAUAUAACACUUUAACACAUAAGUAAGGGAUCACACCUUUACGUUAAUCCUCAAAUAUGCUGACAGGUUCUCAAAAAGGGAUAUAACUACACAAGUGCAAGCACUGAGGGCAGUUCCAAUGACCUCAGAGCACAGCAAGGGGAUGAUGAUGCCACCUGCCCAGUUCUGCUCCUGCACUGAUGCUGGGGUCUGGGCUCAUAGGACGAGUUACAGCAGCUGUACUUUUCUCAGCCUGCAGCACAACUCUCCCAGACCUCCUGGGAAUGCUGUGGAGCAACCAUUUGAGACCAUGGGUAUCGUCCACCUUAAUUGUAUGACUUCACACAUGCUGUGCCAGAAGUUGGAGGCACGGGUUGCAUUGCUGCUGACCACUUGGCUGUCCAGUGUUGCCACCAAGCAACCAGAGAGGAAAAGGGGCCCAUUGCUCCUUGUCCAAGCUGAUGGCUCUUCUGUGCAGACAGCAGAGACUCAGCCUGAAAAUUCAGACCCAGCAGAACAGGGAGUGGAAGCUUCCAUCAGCACUGAUUUCAAACCUCAAUGAUCCUGCAACCUCCAACCCUAUUUACAACAAAGUUGGAACUCCUGUGAUGUCUGAACUAAGUCUAGAUUUAUGCAAGCACAGCUGGGGAAAAGGAAGAAAGAAAGGAUGAAAAGAAGAAAGGAAGAAAGAAAAUAACUCCUCUAUUUUAAGACCUCAGUUCCACUACCAUUUCUCUCUCCCUGCAGCAGAGAUUUCCCUUUGCACAGUAAUAACACAGUCCAGCUUAGAGAUCUAGGCGAAACCUAGCCACGUAAUUACUACAUUUCCACAGAUAUUCUUGUACUGCAGUAACACUCCCUAGUGCAGGGGUAGUUUAAACAAAGAACUCAGUGUGGGGAUGCAGUUAAAACAUCAAGCACGUCUUUUUUAUGGUGCAAUACAGACCCAUUUUUUAAUUAUGCCCAAAUCCGCGUUGCAGGUUGGUCCUUUGGAAACGAUAACUGGUGUUUUUAUUUUCACAGAGAACAGUUAAGCGAGCAGUUUACCUUGCCAACCUCCAAAUCAGUUUUGAAUGAUGAAAGGAAUAACCUCACACACGCACGUGCUUUUCCCCUUGCCUUCAGUCAGUUGUGAAAUAAGCUGCUCAGCGCUGCAUCCAUAAUGGGGACUGCAGUGCAGAUGGCAAAAGCACAAGCACAACUCAUACUGUGGCUCCGCCAAUCGAGGUGUACUGCAUAAGCAGAGCAGCUGAAAAAAGCAAAACACACUGAUAGCAAGGAGGGAAAGAGAGGCUGCUGCUCCUGGAACAUUUUCACCUUCAUCUUUCUAUCUAUAGAAGAUGCUGUCUGGGGUAGCAAUUACAUGGAACAACGUCCGGAAGAUCCUGAGUGCGAUGCUGUCUGCACUGCAGUCACUGGGAAUGAGGAUUUCACCCCAGGAUCAUUUUAAGUCUGUGUUCCAGUGACAUUCUUUGCUUUGUUGAUGAGAGAAUGCAGAGGGGAAAGAAAGCAAGAAUCUCACACCUCCACCCUACUGUUCUGUUGGUCACCAGCAUGGAAAAUGCCCACAGCCACCACCAGUCCUGGGGCCUCA